RNAcentral lists this ribosomal RNA (253 nucleotides) under uncultured bacterium. RNAcentral's name for it is "partial 16S ribosomal RNA". It matches the Rfam family "Bacterial small subunit ribosomal RNA", at positions 524 to 776 of the family's 1533-position model. The record is from RNAcentral.
UACGGGGGGGGCAAGCGUUGUUCGGAAUUACUGGGCGUAAAGGGCUCGUAGGCGGCCAACUAAGUCGGAUGUGAAAUCCCCAGGCUUAACCUGGGAACUGCAUCCGAUACUGGAUGGCUUGAAUCCGGGAGAGGGAUGUGGAAUUCCAGGUGUAGCGGUGAAAUGCGUAGAUAUCUGGAGGAACACCGGUGGCGAAGGCGACAUCCUGGACCGGUAUUGACGCUGAGGCGCGAAAGCCAGGGGAGCAAACGGG